UACGUAGGGUGCGAGCGUUAAUCGGAAUUACUGGGCGUAAAGUGUGCGCAGGCGGUCUCGCAAGUCAGGCGUGAAAGCCCCGGGCUUAACUUGGGAACGGCGCUUGAAACUACGAGGCUUGAGUGUGGCAGAGGGAGAUGGAAUUCCACGUGUAGCGGUGAAAUGCGUAGAGAUGUGGAGGAACACCGAUGGCGAAGGCAGUCUCCUGGGCCAACACUGACGCUCAUGCACGAAAGCGUGGGGAGCAAACAGG
This 253-nucleotide ribosomal RNA is filed under the name uncultured bacterium. Its description in RNAcentral is "partial 16S ribosomal RNA". It matches the Rfam family "Bacterial small subunit ribosomal RNA", at positions 524 to 776 of the family's 1533-position model. The record is from RNAcentral.